This 886-nucleotide long non-coding RNA is filed under the name Brassica napus (rape). Its description in RNAcentral is "long non-coding RNA (BNAP_LNC012889)". Lineage: Eukaryota; Viridiplantae; Streptophyta; Magnoliopsida; Brassicales; Brassicaceae. The record is from RNAcentral.
CACGUGAUGAUAAAACCACCUCCCUGGUUCAUCCAAAUGUCGUUCAGACAUCGCACCUUGGCCGUCUGAUGUAGACAGUUGAAACCUGACCGGUUUGAUAUCCCAACCAUGAACUUGGUCGAGGUUACUUGUUUUUCUCCCACACUUUCUCAAAGGUUUGCCUAAAUGUAUCUUGAAAAGUACACUGUAUUUUCCUGGUGCAAAUUCAAAUCUGAUAUUUCCCACUGCUUCUAACCACCAUACUUGCCGGAGAUAAGCUAUUGAUCCAAAUCUGAAUGGAACAAAAGGUUCAAUAGAAUAUUAACCGUUGUAAGAACUAAGAAAUUAAGAAUGAAAAGAAUCAUAACAGAUAGAUGCGAGUGUUGGUAAGGGGACAAUGUUGAUCAAGUACUCUGUCACUUACUUAAUCUGUAGACUAUAUGUCUCUUAAGUGGAGAAAAUAUUGGAUCUCAUCUAAUCUACUUAUAGAUAAAUACUGUCCUCUUUUUUUUGUAGGGAUUAUCACCUAGAUGAAGCACUAGUGGAAGAAAUUAUCGUUUCAAUUGGUGGUUUAUUUAGAGGAAUAAAAUGAAGAAUUUAUUUUAAAAUUUAUGUUUCCUUUCCCUCAAAUUCAUUUUCUUUACUUUUGCAUUUAAAUAUAAAAGCCAAAUUUUUUUUUUGGCCGUCUGAUGUAGACAGUUGAAAACUGACCGGUUUGAUAUCCCAACCAUGAACUUGGUCGAGGUUACAUGUUUUUCUCCCACACUUUCUCAAAGGUUUGCCUAAAUGUAUCUUGAAAAGUACACUGUAUUUUCCUGGUGCAAAUUCAAAUCUGAUAUUUCCCACUGCUUCUAACCACCAUACUUGCCGGAGAUAAGCUAUUGAUCCAAAUCUGAAUGGAACAAAA